RNAcentral lists this ribosomal RNA (1384 nucleotides) under metagenome. RNAcentral describes it as "bacterial LSU rRNA". It matches the Rfam family "Bacterial large subunit ribosomal RNA", at positions 1503 to 2910 of the family's 2925-position model. The record is from RNAcentral.
AUAGUAGGUUAAAGGGUGUAGACGUUGAUACAGACAGGGAAGUCCGUUUGUUGAGUCGAACCUGAUAGUACAGAGAGCCUUCGUGGCGAUUUGAUAUGAAUGUAAUCAGACUUCCAAGAAAAUCCGCUAAGCAUAUGUCACAUUUACCCGUACCACAAACCGACACAGGUGGUCGAGUAUAGAGUACAUAGGCGCUCGAGUGAUUCAUGGUUAAGGAACUAGGCAAAUUAGACCCGUAACUUCGGGAGAAGGGUCCCCUACUCGCAAGAGAGGGCGCAGAGCAAAGGUCCAGGCGACUGUUUAACAAAAACACAGGGCUAUGCUAAAUCGAAAGAUGAUGUAUAUGGCCUGACACCUGCCCGGUGCUGGAAGGUUAAGAGGAGAGGUUAGCAGCAAUGCGAAGCCUUGAAUUGAAGCCCCAGUAAACGGCGGCCGUAACUAUAACGGUCCUAAGGUAGCGAAAUUCCUUGUCGGGUAAGUUCCGACCUGCACGAAUGGUGUAACGAUCUGGACACUGUCUCAACCAUGAGCUCGGUGAAAUUGUAGUAUCGGUGAAGAUGCCGAUUACCCGCAACGGGACGGAAAGACCCCGUGAACCUUUACUGCAGCUUUGCAUUGCGUUUGGGCAACCGAUGUGUAGGAUAGGCCGGAGGCUGUGAAUCGGGCACGCUAGUGUUCGUGGAGCCGACGUUGAAAUACGGCCCCUCGGUUGUUUGAGCGCUAACCUAUCAAAUAGGGACAUUGCAUGGUGGGUAGUUUGACUGGGGUGGUCGCCUCCAAAAGCGUAACGGAGGCUUCCAAAGGUACCCUCAGGCCGAUUGGUAACCGGUCGUAGAGUGUAAUGGUAUAAGGGUGCUUGACUGUGAGGCGGACAUGCCGAGCAGGUGCGAAAGCAGGGCAUAGUGAUCCGGUGGUUCCGAAUGGAAGGGCCAUCGUUCAAAGGAUAAAAGGUACUCCGGGGAUAACAGGCUGAUCGCCCCCAAGAGCUCAUAUCGACGGGGCGGUUUGGCACCUCGAUGUCGGCUCGUCACAUCCUGGGGCUGGAGAAGGUUCCAAGGGUUAGGCUGUUCGCCUAUUAAAGUGGCACGCGAGCUGGGUUCAGAACGUCGUGAGACAGUUCGGUCCCUAUCUGUUGUGGGCGUUGAGAUUUGAGGGGAGCUGACACUAGUACGAGAGGACCGUGUUGGACGUACCGCUGGUUUACCGGUUGUACCGCCAGGUGCACCGCCGGGUAGCUAAGUGCGGAAUGGAUAAGCGCUGAAAGCAUCUAAGCGCGAAGCCAACCUCGAGAUUAGAUCCCGUUUGAGGGCCGUGGAAUACUACCACGUUGAUAGGCUGCAAGUGUAAAGGCGGAGACGUCAAAGCUGAGCAGUACUAAUAGCCC